RNAcentral lists this transfer RNA (127 nucleotides) under Splachnum luteum. RNAcentral describes it as "partial tRNA-Leu". Lineage: Eukaryota; Viridiplantae; Streptophyta; Bryopsida; Splachnales; Splachnaceae. The record is from RNAcentral.
CGGUAGACGCUACGGACUUGAAAAUCCGUUGGCUUUUACAUGUUAAUAGUAACAGCAAUUUAAGUUGUAGUAAAAAGAAAAUCCGUUGGCUUUAGUGACCGUGAGGGUUCAAGUCCCUCUACCCCCA